ACUGCAAGUCGAGCGGACAGAAGGGAGCUUGCUCCCGGAUGUUAGCGGCGGACGGGUGAGUAACACGUGGGUAACCUGCCUGUAAGACUGGGAUAACUCCGGGAAACCGGAGCUAAUACCGGAUAGUUCCUUGAACCGCAUGGUUCAAGGAUGAAAGACGGUUUCGGCUGUCACUUACAGAUGGACCCGCGGCGCAUUAGCUAGUUGGUGAGGUAACGGCUCACCAAGGCGACGAUGCGUAGCCGACCUGAGAGGGUGAUCGGCCACACUGGGACUGAGACACGGCCCAGACUCCUACGGGAGGCAGCAGUAGGGAAUCUUCCGCAAUGGACGAAAGUCUGACGGAGCAACGCCGCGUGAGUGAUGAAGGUUUUCGGAUCGUAAAGCUCUGUUGUUAGGGAAGAACAAGUGCAAGAGUAACUGCUUGCACCUUGACGGUACCUAACCAGAAAGCCACGGCUAACUACGUGCCAGCAGCCGCGGUAAUACGUAGGUGGCAAGCGUUGUCCGGAAUUAUUGGGCGUAAAGGGCUCGCAGGCGGUUUCUUAAGUCUGAUGUGAAAGCCCCCGGCUCAACCGGGGAGGGUCAUUGGAAACUGGGAAACUUGAGUGCAGAAGAGGAGAGUGGAAUUCCACGUGUAGCGGUGAAAUGCGUAGAGAUGUGGAGGAACACCAGUGGCGAAGGCGACUCUCUGGUCUGUAACUGACGCUGAGGAGCGAAAGCGUGGGGGAGCGAACAGGAUUAGAUACCCUGGUAGUCCACGCCGUAAACGAUGAGUGCUAAGUGUUAGGGGGUUUCCGCCCCUUAUUGCUGCA
RNAcentral lists this ribosomal RNA (815 nucleotides) under Bacillus sp. (in: firmicutes). RNAcentral describes it as "bacterial SSU rRNA". It matches the Rfam family "Bacterial small subunit ribosomal RNA", at positions 53 to 850 of the family's 1533-position model. The record is from RNAcentral. Lineage: Bacteria; Bacillati; Bacillota; Bacilli; Caryophanales; Bacillaceae.